Long non-coding RNA from Cyprinus carpio (common carp), 847 nucleotides. RefSeq lists it as uncharacterized. The transcript has 4 exons. The record is from RefSeq and is a predicted model, not a curated record. Lineage: Eukaryota; Metazoa; Chordata; Actinopteri; Cypriniformes; Cyprinidae.
AGCCGCGUUAGGGUAAAAUACUUUAAACUUUGUAAGCUUAACAGUUAUGAAUAAUCUUCAACACCUUUCUUUGCAAAACUUUUUCCUAUUCCAUUCACUGAAUUUAUUAUUCCUAAAACGUAAAGAAUUUUGAGUUUUAUUUCGCGUUGUGGUUUUUGUCCCUUAGCAGCGUCCGUUCAGUCAGUGACGUAAUACAUAAACAAGAUGCCUACUUCCAUGGGCUUAAGCAAAAGUGCUGCACUCUCUAAAGCAGAUUACCUUAAACAGUAUUUAUCUAGUGAUUAAGCUGGCAAGAAGUCUAAAGAGAAGAAGCUUAAGAAGAAACUGCCGAAACCCACGGGGAGAGGGGUGAAAACUGUGCAUGACGACAUUGACUGGAAGCAACUGACAACUCAGAAAGAAGAAAAAGAAGAAGAUGACAACGAGGCACCUGUGAUGUAUUGCAGAAGUGAUAGAUGAACGCCCAGAUGAGAUCAAGCAGCUUGAGGCAUUCGGGACAGGCAGGUGGAUAGUGAUCCCCGAGAAACCCAGGAUUCUGCAUUAGAUAAAAGGUAUAAAGAAACUCUCCUUCCUCGACUCCCCGGAUCUCUCACCCCAAAGAAGAGGUCGUCAUGACUCACCAGAUCUCUCACCUCAAAGACACAGUGCCGAGAACAAAAACAGACGGCAUGAUUCCUUAUCACCUUCCCCUCCAAGAAAGAGUCACAAGAGCUCACACUCCAGAACUCAAAGGCUGCAUGAUAAAGAGUGUCCACACAGAAGAAAGACAAAAGCUGGCUCUUCAGAUGACUUUCACAGACCAGAAGACGAGUACGAAAAGGCAAAUGCUCAGAAUAUUAUGAUUAGU